CACAAGGGCAACACACUAAAAAGGAAAGAACCACGACAACAGGCACUGGUGCAGCAGCAAGUCAACAAGCCCAAAAUACUUCUGCACCCUGGGUUAGAUCAAGAAACAAAGUUGUACUCAAGGUACUGCUGAUGCUGACUGAGUUUGAACAAACCCUUGCCACAGGGAUAAGAAACACAUCGAGGUAGGGACGCGCUGCUGGCUCUGCUGCCUGCCAUGGAUGAGGCAGAUCCCAGGGAAGACAACCAAUUAAAGGUUGCAACUGAUGCUCCAUCGCUGAAAACUUAUAAAUCAGAGUUGUGUCAACAAAGUCAUCAAAGGUGUCUGAAGGUAAGUCACAUGUGUUGGACUUCAAGGAAGCUUUGGGGAAUGCCUUGAGUGAUGUUACACAGGCCAUUAGCUUGCAAAGGUCCCUUCGAUUUGUAAAAUCCUAGUAAUUGUUCUACCUCAUCAGAGUUGCAUAGGCCACUUUUCCUUUUUUUUUCCCUAUCUGAACAUAUCAUCCUGUAUCAGAGUGCAAUGUUUCAAGACCUCUUUCACCAUCAGCCAAAAGAACAGUGGUGCCAAAUAAAAAAGGCAGGGAACUGUCUUUCUAGAAACAGCAACUUGCAAGUGAAAGAAUGUGAUACAAAUCCCUGGAGGUGCUAAAUAUUUUUAUUGAAUGGUUGCGAAACAGAAUAAAUUAGAGGGCAAAAUGUAAGCUCUUCUUGGAACAAGUAGCUGGUCUAACCCUCCCGAUGCUAGGGUACUCUCUUUGCCUUGGCCUAAGAGUUAAAUAGUCAUUACAUUUCCCUACAGGCUACCUUUCCAAGGAAAACACAUUCUCUGUGCGCUGCAGUCUUUGACAAUAGGAUUAAGUAUUACUGGCAGACAAUACCACUUAAAACGUUAGCUGCAUCAACCUCCAUGAUGACUGAAAGAGCUAUUAGUCUGCAGUGCCUCUUUUAACAGGAGGCCAAAAAACCCCAUCCUUUAUGACCCUUGAUAGGGGGAAAGAAAUACCUGGGAGGCAAUAUACCUCAUCUAGACAGAAAAUGUACAUGAAAAAUGGUUACAACAAGAUUAUUUACAUUCUUUAGUCAUUAGGGAUAAAGUGGAUGCUUACUGACCCAUCUUUCUAAACAACAAAUUGAAAAUCCCCCGUGAUAAAAUCGCUCUGCUUCGUGAUUUCCAGUUCUGUCAGACGCUUCAGAAAAAAACGGCGUUCACUUAGCAUAUCUAUCUACUCAGUAACUGAUUUGUGGUCUUUGCAAUUUAGAUACUCAGCCUCUCUUUCAACUCCACACGUCCAUUACAUUUGCUACAAAUCGCAUUACGCGAGCGUGUUCUGGAGAGCAGAACUGCAGCCUGGAGGGCCGGGAAGUGCGGGCAGGUCGUGCCUCUCCACCCCAAUGGUUCAAAAGAACAUGGAACUGCCCAGCCUGGGGUUUGCUGCUGGGGCAGAGGCUCUGCAGAGGCUGUGAAAUGUACAUUAUAUACAUGUCUUAGGUGCACGGAGCGCUGUUCUGCCACAGCGCUUCAGGAAAGGAGGUCAAAUUGUUUUGGAAAGAAUGUUACAGCAAAAAAAAAAAAGAAUAUAAAAUGCCUCUGUUUUGAUGCAGAAGGAUAAGAACAGCAAAGAUUUGGGUACUUGCACAGAAAGAACCUAUGAACUCACCCAGCUCUAGACUGAGCCUAUCUUACACUGUUUACUCUGAAUGCCACAGAAAGCACACCCUCUGUCACGUGCCAUAUUCCAGCAGGGCCUCUGGCUAAAAAAACCAAAUUCUUUCCCUUCUUCUUCCCUUUACCCUUAACACAAACACGAUGCUUGUUUCUGAGAGCAAACACCUCAGAAAGACAAAGCCAUAAAUCAAAUCUGUACAGUUCUUCUGACCGAUGCUUAUGCUAUUAUGUCAUCCUACCCAGAAACAGCAUAAUUGUAGAUAAUGUGAAGCAGAUCAACUUCUGUAAUCUUCCAUAAGGAAAAAAAAAAAAAAGGAAAGGAAGAGGUUACUGUCUUCUGAAUCUAUCCUGAAGAAUUUAGCUUUCUGUAACACAGAAGAACAAAACCAGUCUAUCUGCUGCCGACAUUUAUGCAGAGGUCACUCAGGAUGUGUGAUGGCCAAAGCACACGUGGUACCUGGUACCAGCUGAUCAACCUAUGGGAAUGAAUACUGGGAAAAAUACCAGUGCCAAGGACGGGGGGAGAGAAGAGGGUCAUUAGUGCACGGUGCUUGAAACGUCAAGAUGCAAUGAGCGGGACAGAGCUGCUGAUGAGAACACUCGGGGGAUGCAGCAUGAGGAUCUCUGGACUGAGCAAAGUGUCGUGGUCAGAGAAGGAUAAUAAAAAGACUGGAACACACACCAUCUGGUACAACAGAAGGGAGGAUGGGAAACAUCAACAGGGAGUUAUAUUUGCUAGGGAAAGCCAGACGGUGAAAGCAUUGAUUAAGAUUAUUUUGUCGAUUAGGUGGUACACUCUGAUUUAUGUGCUGGGGGAAGAGGAGCAUUUGCCAUGCAAAGGUUGUGCUGCUGAAGUGGGAUCAGACCCAGGGAUGUGGGAGGCUUUCGUAGUUUUCCCUGGGGAAGGGUCACGUGGAAGCAGGGCUCACUUGUGGAUUUGGAAGGUUGCACAUUCCAGCGUGAUAAAAACGAGAUGUGAAGAUACGGCCUAAAGCAGGCAAGUGGCACAUGGAGGGAGACCAAAGCAGUGGGGAAAAGAGCUGCAACAAGAGAAAAUUAUUUGGAAAAUAACUGCUUGAGACAAAUAUGUAUAUAUUUAUAUCACCACAUCUAUAUUCAUACCCAUCCAAGGGCAAAUCAACAAGCAAUGUAAAGCUCUUGAGCUACAUUGAAAUCAAAUUAUACUAUUUUGUUUGCCCAGAGAGCUGGGCUGCUCCUGGGACAGAAAGAUUAGGCUCAGAUUAGAGUCACUCCCAGCUUCUGAGGUCCUCAAUGACAAGGCACAGCAGGGGCAGUGCAAAGGGUAUGCAAUGAUACAGCUUCUCAGAUAAAUUUAGUACCCACCUCACUGAAAGGUGAGGAUAGGAAACCAAGAAACAAGCCAAAGGUUUAAGGGAGAGGCUUGCACAGCACAGUAUUAUUUGCAUCAGUCAAUCAGUGGGUAAAAUGGGAACAAAGUGACAUCAGCAGCAAUGCACAGUCCAUGAAUCAGCAGAGGGGAAAGAGCAGUAGGUGGGCAGCACCAAAAACAAAAAACCAGGCAGGUUGCCUGAAAUAAGUCCCUGAAAAAUGUUUUUUUUUUUAUGACACUGACUGUAGAGGGAUGAGCAAGUACAGCAGGUUUUGUGAAACCCCAGUGGCACAGCACUGCUCAUUUCCCUCACACUGAAACUGCAGAAAAAAAUUCCUGAAACCUCUGAAUGCUGGGAAGCCCUGGAGAAAAAGCAAACAAGCCUUUAGUUGUUGUUUAGGUAAAAAGGAUUAAAAAAAAAGAGACCACAACAGUUUUCAUGCUAAGCUCAGAGGGUUUUCUCCCCCCUCAGGACAUAGGAAGUAUUUUAUACUCCAGCAGAAACACCAUUUAAGGAAAAUCCUGUUUUCCUGCAGGUGAAGUGUCACCAAGUGAAAAAUGGAAAAUUCCCAUGGAUUUAUCCCCGAGUAAACACACACACAUUCUUUCACAGCUCACAAAUCUCAUCAGCAAGUGUUGACCAACCUCCAGUUACUCCAGAUAAGCUGUGUACAGGUUAAGCUAGACACAGGUAGGUUAAACAGAGUGCAAGAGGGAGGCAGAUCCAGUAGCACAGCAGCAUGGACAGGUAUAAAUUCACUUCCUGUUGCCUUUGAACUAUCUCAAUGGGAACAGCCCUAAAUAUUACAAGUAUUACAUUUCCCUAUUCAAUAAAGUUGUGCUGAAUAGAAUUAUCACCUUGAAAUUACAGGGUAAAACUCCCUAUACCAAAACAGAUUAAAGACAAAUUAGACUGUGGGCCAGGUCACUAUGAUUGUUAAUUAGUGAUAAUGGAAAUACAAUUAGCAUAAUGAGUUCCAAUUACUGUAUAUGGAGAAAUAUGAGCAUACUGCUUUCAUAAAUCUUGGUUCCAGGAAAAAUAAAAUGCAUCUGGUUUAACAAAGCAUGCCCUUCUUCUUUGCAAAAAGCUUCCUGGUAAAUAUCUUUUUAUGAAGCUAAACCUUUCUUUUGAUGGGUUGUGAUUUUGGGGGAAAAAAAAAAAAGAAAAAGAAAGCGACAGAAUGGAUUUACCCUAUCUGAUAGCUGAACAGUUUUGUAUUAGCUUGGCUUCUGUUUUAAGCUUCCUAGAAAAUCUUACCAUCUGUUUCUUCAGUCCUGGGUUAAACAAAAAAAAAAAGACAAAAAUCAUAGACCAUUACAUCAAAUGCACUUACUGUCUUUGAAACAUCCGGAGUUUUCCUCUCUUUCCUUUUUCUCCUUCUGAUAAGCUGUGAAAUUGGAAAGCCAAUUAUAUUCUGAUAUUUACACAGUUAGGUAUUGUUUUUCAAAAACCUCAUUGAAAAAACAGUUGAUGAAAGACAACAGUUUUACCAGGAACAACCCCAGCAUGUCCAAUGGUAACUUCAUGAAGAAUUGUCUUAUUUAUUUCCAUAGCAGUUUGCCACCUUUGCGAGGGUGGGCAAAAUCAGGCUGGAUUUAGUGUAUCACUCACGGGUGAGUUUAAAAAGUGGGGAUUUAAAUUAUGAAUUUACAGAUGCUGUGGACUGAAGUGCUAAUGGAAAUAAAGGCUUAAUGAAGCCCCACAGACGUGCAAGCUUGACUCCAUGCCUCUAUUUAACAAGCUGGUGUUAACUAUGCUGUUGGAUAGCCAAUUAUGAAGCUACUCACUGUUUCCAUGUGUUAAAGUGGAUUCUGGGCAAGAAUUCAAGAGCAGGAAAAAUUCCAGCUGCAUACAAGGAUUAGAUGUUAGCAAUACUACAUCUUCUCCCUUCAAAAAAGAUUCUCCAGCCUUCUCAUUACAGGACAAUCAGGCAAAAAGCUGUGUAAGGCCCAAAAGUCAUGGACAGACAAAACUGAUGGGAUGUGAGUUGUCUAGAUGGCCUCGGAGAUAUUGGGGAGCAUUCGUCAAGAAAACUGUAAAAACAUGGAAAUGGGAAAGGAUAGUGGAAGGAGAAAGGGAACUGAUUGAAGACAGCAUCCUUGCUAUCUGCUGAGCUGCAGUCAGAGCAGGCUGCUUGCAUUUCCACUAUGUCAACAGUGUGAUAAUUAGCUGUAGGCGUAGAUGAACUCUCCUCUCUCACUUUGCAGCUACGGGAGAGAACCAGCUCAAGACACACCCACACUGACAGCCUCGUGUGAAAGAACACCAGCACCGUGUAACUUCAGUGUUGUCUCUGUCCCCUCAUGGUUAAUGAGCCGUGUGUUUUGGCACAAAACACAAGGCAGAAGAGAGAGGAGGGAAGGACCUGCCCUGGACACCUGCUGAGAUUGCCACAGCUCUGCAGAGCAUGACAAGAUCCAUGAUAAGAAGCCUUAUCCUGGUGAUGGGAGCACUACCUGAGGAGAGCCUGCUCGCUUCACAGAUUGAGUGUGCUCUGCACAGAUAGCUCUGAGUAAGAUUUGACUUUUUUGAGUUUAGCCCUCUAAAAAUGAACACCAAAUACUUCAUGGUGCUAUGCAUCCUGAGCUUCCCAAGGAUGCCGAUGGCUCACAUGAAUGUUGUCACCGUAGCAUUUCAGUGCUUGCAGGAUGCUAAAGACCUAGAAAAGUACAGGGAUUAAGAGAGUUAGAACUGGCUCACAGCUUAGGGAAGUGGCCUAUGGAAGGAAUAAUGAGUGAACACACACCACUAAAGAUCGUAUCUUGACACAUACGCACAACAAGGCUGAAUUCAAUGUGUACAGGCAAUCAGGAAUCUCACAUUACCUCACUUUGCAACCUUAAAGGGUUGUUGAGUGCUUGGUUAUUUUCACCUGUGAAAUGAAGAUCUCAAACAAGAUCACUCUGAUAGGCGCUGUAUCUAGGCACAGUAAAAGGCAUUCUCAGUGAUAACAAAGCUUACAAGACAAGUGGAUGAGUCAGACCCAGAGAAAGGGAGAGAGAGGGAGAGAGAGAGAGAGCAGCAAGACACAAAAAAUACUUUUCCUAUAAGCAUAGGCAGGUCCCAGCACAUCACCUGAGCACAGGCUUUUCUCACUGACAAGCAAUCCCACUAAGUCAACGAGGAAGGCUUUAUUGGGAGCAUAUAAAUGCAACCUUCCUGACAACGAUAACCCCUUGGUGGAAGGGAAAGGUUCAGAGGGACACCUGACCCUGUGCCAGCUGGAGCUGUCAGGCAGGCACCAGCAGAGCCCGCGCGAACCCAGCGCAGCCCCGCGUUAUCCUGAAUUUACAGCAUCACCCCUCAGAGCGCAGGCGAGUGUUGCCACAAAUGGAUGAUCUCAAUCAGAAAACCAGUCCUGUGGCAAGGGAUGCAUAUGGCCAUCACUCCCAAGAACAGCUGUCAGGCACUGGCCCUGCCCACUUCCCACUGUGUAACGUCCCUGCUUGCUCAGCCAAGCGAAUGACCUUAUAAGCCCACACAGGCCCAAUCUGAUCCAAAAAUUAUCAGCAAAAACUUGUUUUCCUCAAGACCUCGCAGCCUAACGGGGAGAAAUUAUACACUUGGACGGCAGGCGAGCCUAAACAGCUUUUGUUGCAGUUCUUUUGAGUAUGAAAUCUCUCUGCAUUGGAAAUAAAAAAGCUCGUUGGAAAGAUGAGUGGUAGACCCCCACUCUCUCCAUCCAAAGCAUGCUGUUCAAUUUAGCCUGUGCUUCACUGAAUAAAUAACACUCCCAGCCAUGAUGCUCCCCCUCCAAUAUGCUUGAGUAUUGAUAGAUUGCAUCGCUCUACACAAAGUCUGUCUGGAACUUGUGACAUUUGCCCAGUGAAUUGGUAAAUGAACUUGAAAUAUUUGACCCAUGCAGAUGAGAUUACACCUUAUUUAGCCUGAAUGGACAAGAUCCUUUGUUGUACCCAAAAAACCUGACAGAUAAGUCUAACCUUUUCAUCCAGCUCUUCUGGGUAUUUAGCUACGUGCAAAGUGACACUCCUGGAUGAUUAUACUGAAUCUCAAAUCUCUUCUGCAUAUACAUGUAUAACUGUGUACUCUGCAGGAAUCUGUGACACAGGCAAGUUGGCAACUGAAGGACCUUCUCCCAGACUGCCUUCUGAUUUAUGUAGGCCUGUCACAGAGUGACUGAUACAAGUGAAAUAAAUCUGUUGACGACUUAAAAGACAUGAAACUUGACAGACAUUCAAAGUAAGUCAGAUACAGCUAUUUCAUGUUUUAUCUUUUCCUGUGCUGUGUCUCCAAAAUGAGAUUAGCUGACAUGGUCAAGGGGCAGAGUGAGGGAUAAGUGGGCACAAGAUUUGGCCACAGUCUCCUCAGAGAGGUCCCCUACCCCCCACCUCUGAUCCUCUUUUCCAGCAAUACAUUUUUCACUAUGAUCACCAUGCUUUGAUCUCGGUUGACAUUUUAAACUGGGUAGCAUUCUCCAAGACAAUCUUAAGGCUUUAAAAUUACAUUGCUCAAUGCAACAAAUACCUCUUAGCACUUGUCCUGCUUUGAGCUUUUGAGAUGUAUUUUUGUAUCUCAACAGAGCAAUUGUGAUGUUGUUAUCAAGCCUAAAUCUGAGCCCAGACUUUGAUGACUGGGCUCAUCUUACAUAGUUGGUGAAUGUAGAGGGUUUGCUGGAAAAAUAC
Molecule: long non-coding RNA, 7660 nt
Organism: Prinia subflava (tawny-flanked prinia)
Lineage: Eukaryota; Metazoa; Chordata; Aves; Passeriformes; Cisticolidae
Exons: 3
Source: RefSeq, a predicted model, not a curated record